CCUACGGGAGGCAGCAGUGGGGAAUAUUGCGCAAUGGGCGAAAGCCUGACGCAGCGACGCCGCGUGAGGGAUGAAGGUCUUCGGAUCGUAAACCUCUGUCAGCAGGGAAGAACGGUCACGGUGCUAAUCAGCAGUGAAUGGACGGUACCAGCAAAGGAAGCACCGGCUAACUCCGGGCCAGCAGCCGCGGUAAUACGGAGGGUGCGAGCGUUAAUCGGAAUUACUGGGCGUAAAGCGCGCGUAGGCGGUAUGUCAAGUCAAGGGUGAAAUCCCCGCGCUCAACGUGGGAACUGCCUUUGAAACUGGCAACCUGUAGUGUGUGAGAGGCUAGUGGAAUUCCAGGUGUAGGCGU
This 352-nucleotide ribosomal RNA is filed under the name uncultured bacterium. RNAcentral describes it as "partial 16S ribosomal RNA". It matches the Rfam family "Bacterial small subunit ribosomal RNA", at positions 338 to 682 of the family's 1533-position model. The record is from RNAcentral.